Molecule: long non-coding RNA, 1615 nt
Organism: Myxocyprinus asiaticus (Chinese sucker)
Lineage: Eukaryota; Metazoa; Chordata; Actinopteri; Cypriniformes; Catostomidae
Exons: 3
Source: RefSeq, a predicted model, not a curated record
UCGAGACUUGACUUGAACUGCAUGACUCGACAAUGACUUUAAUGUUUUUUAUUAUUAUUAUUUUCAAUAACUUAUUAUAAACACUAAUGAAAUGUGUUUAAAAAAAUAUUGCGACAUCAGUUAAUUCAUAUGCAAAUAUGUAAGCCCGCCAGCACUACUGAUCUGCAUCUGCGCAGUUAACGCUGCGCUCACAACGCGCCGAAAUGACAGAUGAUUGUCGAGUUCCCAAAAUAAUCUCCUUUGGAUAUAAAGAUUACGAAUUGGACCGUGUGAAUAAAAAAAGAUUUGCCAGAUGCACAAUAUGCAACGCAAAAAUAUCCGAUACAACCUCGAAUUUCAUCAGACAUUUCAAAAACCACAAGGAAAGUACUGUGGCUUGACUCGACUUGAAACUCAUCAGGACUCAAAUUGAUUUGCUUGAGUGAAAACACAACACUUGACAUGGCUGAUCAAUCCAACAUAUAUGGCUUGUUCCUUUCUAAUUGAAGCACAUGACGACGACGACGACGACAACGACAACGACAACAACAACAACAACAACAACAACAACAACAGAUGUGCAUUCGAAUCACCCAUACACAUUAAUACUUGCAGAAAUUAACAAUAUAAACACAUAUAUGCAACAUAUGAUUUGUUAUUUUUGUCCAUGCAGAAUUGUCACACAUCUUCAGCCUGUGAGUAAGUGUGUUGGUGUGAGGGUUUUACAGCAUUGUGUUUAUAAGAGCUUGUGUUCUGCACAAGGGUAUCCAGUCUAAUAGAUGUUCUGUGGGUGGGUGGAAGGUCUGAGAUUGCCAUGCAGUAGGUUAGCAUCCUUUUCCCUGCCCCUCUUUCUUCCAUUUUUUUUUCUUCGUCCCUCCUCUCUCUGUCUCUUGGUUCCUGGGGUGUGAUGAUGCUUGCAUUCACAUUUCCCAUCUCUCUUUCAUUUUAUCAUCAGCCACUGUUCUCUAGACCCCAGGAAUCCACUUGUUUCUUUCCAGUUUGAGUCCUUUAUGUGCCAUGCAUCCAUCUUAUAUCAAUACCAUUUUUCCUGCAUCCAUUGCUUUUUCUUCCCUGUCCGGCGAUGUGGUGUCUUCCCUGUCUCAAUGUGUGUGGCUAGAGUCUGUUUCUGUUCCUACUCUUUUUAAUCAGCAUGUUAAUAAGAAAGGUAACUAAUCAAUACGUUCAAUGGCCUGGCGACUGAUACCAUCUCAGCCUUCCUCCUCUCUCUCUUUGACACACACACACACACUUGAGUGAAAGCCGUGACUAACAAACAGAAAAAAAAAAGAUAAAAUUCAGAGAAUACACAAAUACAACAAAAAAGAGGAUGUGUUCACUCAGUAACAAUCCAUUCUUUACUUUCAGUUCAGUCAUUUCCCAAAGUACAAAACAAAUCCUCUGUUUGGUGCUGGGAAGAGAUGUAACAUCUUUAACCCUAAAAAGGUUUUUAGCAGAUUCUUGUGAAGAUAUGGGGUCCCUGCAAAUACUUAGGUAGUGUGACUUUGUAUAUAAAAUCUGCCAUCUUUAUCUAAAUGUAAAAUAGCAGCAUUCAAGCAAGUCAGCUGACCUCUAGGCAAAUGUUUCUAUCUUUACAAUGUUAUUUUCAUGACUUCUACAAGCUGUAAAAUUUCAAAUA